AAGAAUUUAGUUAAAAAAUAACAUUAGUUUGUCAAACUAAAAUUAUAAAUUUAGUUCUUU
Molecule: transfer RNA, 60 nt
Filed under: Arescus labiatus
Lineage: Eukaryota; Metazoa; Arthropoda; Insecta; Coleoptera; Chrysomelidae
Description: tRNA-Asp
Source: RNAcentral